RNAcentral lists this microRNA precursor (59 nucleotides) under Xenopus tropicalis (tropical clawed frog). RNAcentral's name for it is "Xtr-Mir-31_pre stem-loop". Lineage: Eukaryota; Metazoa; Chordata; Amphibia; Anura; Pipidae. The record is from RNAcentral.
AGGCAAGAUGUUGGCAUAGCUGUUGCAUCUGAAACCAGUUGUGCCAACCUAUUGCCAUC